GGGGAAUUUUGCCCAAUGGGGGAAACCCUGACGCGGCAAUACCGCGUGAGUGACGAAGUUUUCCGUAUCUUAAAGCUCUGUCAUUGGGGAAUAAAAAACAUCGUUACCAGAGAAGAAAGUCCCGUCAACUUACGGUCCAGCAGCCGCGGUAAUACGUAGGGGACAAGCGUUGUCCGGAUUUACUGGGCGUAAAGGGCACGCAGGCGGUUUUUUAAGUCAGAUGUGAAAGGUACCGGCUCAACCGGUGACAUGCAUUUGAAACUGAAAGACUUGAGUAUUGGAGAGGCAAGUGGAAUUCCUAGUGUAGCGGUGAAAUGCGUAGAUAUUAGGAGGAACACCGGUGGCGAAGGCGGCUUGCUGGACAAAUACUGACGCUGAGGUGCGAAAGCGUGGGGAGCAAACA
This 403-nucleotide ribosomal RNA is filed under the name uncultured Acetobacterium sp. Its description in RNAcentral is "bacterial SSU rRNA". It matches the Rfam family "Bacterial small subunit ribosomal RNA", at positions 356 to 774 of the family's 1533-position model. Lineage: Bacteria; Bacillati; Bacillota; Clostridia; Eubacteriales; Eubacteriaceae. The record is from RNAcentral.